UUGCCUCUGUUUUUCCCUAUGUAUAUUUUUGUCCUUCAUGGGCUUUUUUAUUUUGAUUUUGGUUUGUGGGGACUUUUUUAAUUGUGGUGAGAACAAUUUCUGACCACAGGAAGAAUUUAAUUAUGGUGAGAUCUGUUCUCUUAACAGGUUAAGUGUACAAUUCAGUGCUGUUAACUGUAGGACUGUGCAGCACAGCAGGUCUCCAGAACUUAUUCAUCUUGUGUUACUAAAACUUUCUACCUAUCGUUUUAGCUAAGGCUUUCUGAGCAUCUACUACAUGGCAGGCCCUGUUCUAGCAGUACAUACAUUUACUUAAUGAAUCCUUCACAUAUCCACGUAAGAAAGUUCAGAAAGAUGGCACAGCUCACUACAUUAGCCCACAAGAGACUGCACCAAUUCGGAAAGUCUACAAUAAUGACGUCUGUGAGGUGAUUUACAUUUGAUGACCCCACUGACUCCACCCACCACCCAUGAGAGCAACAUUGUUCUACUCAUUUACAACGGGAGAUGGAAGACCACUCAAUCCAUACAUAUUUGCCUGUGUGUGUAGAGUCCUGCACCAGACCCUGUGGGCGCACAGGAGUUGGGCGCUCAGAGCCCACGGCCUCUUGGAGUUCUCUGUCUGGCAGGAAGGGGAGACAUGAGUAAGCACCCAUGGGAUGUGUGUGUGCUAUGGAAAAAUCUGAAACAAAGCCAGAGGAGCUUCACUUGGUCUGGGAGGGGAGCAAUGACAAAAACCAAUCCACCCAGGGUCCCAUGCUCCCAAGCUGUGUGUCGCCUCAUCAUGGGACCAGCACACUGUUUACAGACCUGUUUGUCUACCCCUGGCCUCCAGUUAGUAUCUGAGCUCCUGAGCAACACAGGUGAUUAGCCUGUGUCCUAAUCACCUUCAUAAGCCCAGCACCCAGCAAAGGGGCUGGCAUCUGUGGCUGCUCAGUAAAUAUUUGCCCAGUGAAAGCCCUACUCCUUCCAUGCCCCAAAGGCCUCCCUCCUUUCAUUCCGUGGACCUUCCUCUCCUGCACAAUAACCCACAGAGGUUAGGACAGUGGCUCCUUAGCCCGGCCCUGACCAUUAGUUUCCAACCCAGAGAAGUUCCACUUAUGUUAACUAUUCCAAGUAUAAUAGAAUAAAAGUGUUGUGUGGGGAGGAGAGGGGCCAGCAGUUUUCAGACACUUGCUCUGUGCUGCGCACUCUGUCUUUAUCACCUUAAAUCUUCUAACGAGCCCGGAAGUCGGUAGGAAGUGGCAGGGCUGGGAUCUGCACCCGGGCAGUCUGUCUCUUGUGCUCACGUGCACUAUGUUAUGCAGCCCCUUGGCUCCUUCCUCCAAGCAUCAGUCAGUGGCCAGUGCUGCUCUCAGCAAAGGGCAGACCUCAAAGACUGUCAUUUAGGCUUCUUCCCCUACACACUGGGACCUUCCUAAAAUCAGAAUAUUCUUCCGGAAGCUCCAUGGUCACUCUCUGAAAGCCACAAAGCAUCUUCCCAGGAUUUCACAUUUCCAGUCUCUGGCCUCUUAUUCCUGAAGAAACUCUAAAGGACACGGGGAUCCAGGCGCAGUCCACUGGGUUGAACCAACCAAUGAAACUGACUCCUGAAAGAUACCAUUCUCCAUCUGCUCACCUGGGGAGUAAAAUCAGUGAGCGUAAUAACAAUAGAAACAAGAAUGUAUAUCCUUGACUGAGCUCUUACUGGGUGCUGGCCUUCUGCUAAGCCCUUCUCAAAUAUCAUCUCAUUUACUCCUCACAGCAACCAUCAGAGGUAGGUACUAUUUGAUCUCCAUUAGGUAAAGUUCUUGAGAACAGAGCUCUGAUGGUUUGGGCCUUCCAGGAAGCUGACACCAAGACAGAAUUAGACAUGGAAGAGCUUCAUUGGGAGAAACAUCUCUGAAGGAUAAAGGGGAAGGAGCAGAGAUGAAAACAGAACAAGAAGGUGCCACCUAUGAACCCAGAAGUGGGCCCUCAUCAGACACCACAGCGAAUCUGCUGGCACCAUGAUCUUGGACUCCAGCCUCCAGAACUGUGAGAAGCCAACUUCUGUUGUUCGUAGGCCACCCAUCUGUGGUGUUUUGGUAUAGCAGCCUGAAGGAACUAAGACAAGCGUCAACCUCGCCACUUUCUGGAGUGACAGGAAAACUGGAGCCUUUGGAACUAAGCAAGGUACCACAUUUUGAGGGAGCCCAAGUUACAGGGAGAGGACACAUGAGGAUGUUCAGACAACAGCCCUAGGGAGGCCCUCAGCCAACAGCCACAGUAAACCAUGAGACAAGCAAGUGAACAAGCCUUCAGAUGACUUCAGCCCCAGCCUUCAAGUCUUCCAACUGAAUAUGCCCCCAGGCACAGUGAAGCAAGGACUGCCAUUCUGCUGUGCCCUAUCUUAAUUCUUGACCUGUGGAAAUUAUGUGAGAUCAUAAAUGGUGUUUAUUAUUUUUUAGCCACUGUGCUCUGAAGUACUUUGUUACACAGCAAUACAUAACUAAAACACAGUCCAAGAACAAAACAGCAAAUGAUUAUCAGCUCAUAUGCUAACUCCAAUCAACUGACAGUUGUCUGGAGAAAGGUGCAUCAGGGCUGAGAAAGAAAAAGAAGAUGGAAUCAAACUAGCGAAGUCUACCAUAAGCAUGGACGUGGGAAGUGACAAUACUGUUUUUUUAUUUGCCAACCUUGGUCUAAGACAACUGACUACAGACCCAGGAAAACAAAAAAAAAAGUUCCAAGAGGGAACGGGAGAAAAAGGCAUGUAGAGUGGGCAGCAGAAAAAGCACUAGGCUUGGCAAUAAGAUACAAGGAUUCAAAGCUCAACUAUGUACCAGCUGGGAGAACUUAAGCUAGUUGUUUAAUCUGGCCCUCAACUCCCUCAUCUGCAAAAUUACAGAACUGUUGUGAGAGUUAAAUUAAAUGUGAUCAUGAUACAGAUGUCUGGCAACAGUAGGUCCUCAACAAAUGGGAAUGUGGUGGGAGUCCUGGCAGAACUUAAGCAAAAUUUGGAUGUGGGAAGGGAGAUGGAUUGGAGGUCUAUUUGACUCUCAAAUACAGAACUGUCACGUGACAUUCGAAGCCUUCCCAAAGCUUUAUUUCCCAAGUGUGUUCUGUGAAAUACUAGGACUGUUGGACAUUAAUAGCACAUUCUGUAAAACACUGGUUCUGUGGAUGUUUAAUAGGUGUUACACAGAUAAAAAGAGUUUGCAUGUAUCCACUUACCAUAUGGCCCAGCAAUCCCAUUUCUGGAUAUUCACCUCAGAGAAGUCAACAUUUAUGUUCACACAAAUACCUGUACAUGAAUGUUUAUCGCAGCUCUAUUCAUAAUCCCCAAAGGCUGGAAACAACUCAAAUGUCCUUCAACAGGAUAAACAAACUGUGGGACACUCAUACCAUAGCAAUGAAAAAGACCAAACUCUUGAUACAUACAACAUGGAUGAAUCUCAAAGGUAUCACCUGAGUGAAAGAAGCCAGUCUCAAAGCCAGUAUAAUUCCAUUUAUAUGACUUUUUUGUGAAAAAGAAAACUAUUUUGGGGAAGAACAUGUCAGUGGUUGCCAGGAGCUGGGGGGAGGGGGUGUGACUACAAAGGGAUAGCACAAGGGAGUACUGGGGUCUGAUGAAACUGUUUCAUAUCCUGACUGUGGUGGUGAAAGGGAGCAGGACCCUGUGGGCACCCCCAACCCCUGCCUCUUGUUUCUAGAAAAGCUGAAGUCUCCCAGGCCUCUCUGAGUCAUAGAAGAGCAGGCUCAAGCAGUUGAUUAGGACAAGCCUGACUGUAGAUCUCACCUUCCCUUCCAAACAGACCAAAGGGUUCUUCUUCUGAAAACAGAACUGUGUACAAGUGAACAGAUACUGGUAACAAAGUGUGGAAGAUUAUGCAAAAAAGAAUGUCAAGAGAGCUCUUUCUCCAUGACAGCAAGAAAUUGUUUACAAAGGAAAAUGUAUGCUGAAACCAAUUCAUUUUUUUCCUUUGCUUUUAUAGCACAUUAGGUUUUUCUUCCGGGAUUUAUUGAGUCAUGAAACACAUUAACUGUGGCAGGCUGAGUUUCAAUUAAAGGCAGGAGGCAAGGGUCAUUUACCUACAACUAAAUACUUCUUCAAUAAUAACAGACUCAUGAACAAAGGGAACUUGUUCUGAGGAGAAUAUGAGGAAUUAUGACUAUAGCCAUCAUUUUUAUUCAGACACAAAUGACUCUAGGCCAGAAAAUCAUAUUAGCUGAAAACAUAACUUGGAACCCACUGCUAAUACCAGGAAACGUUUCUUGCAUGUGGGCAACUCGCUACCAAAAUCAGCAACCAUGAUGAUUGGGGAAAAAAUACCCUAGCUUCUCAACUUACCAUCUCUCUUGACAGGAUGACUUAGAUUUUAGUUUUACAAAGUACCAGAAUGUUAUCAUAGACUAAACAAAUUCUUAAAAUAAAAUGAUAGUCCACAUUUUAAAAGCAACGCCAC
Long non-coding RNA from Camelus dromedarius (Arabian camel), 4427 nucleotides. RefSeq lists it as uncharacterized. Lineage: Eukaryota; Metazoa; Chordata; Mammalia; Artiodactyla; Camelidae. The record is from RefSeq and is a predicted model, not a curated record. The transcript is spliced from 3 exons.